Molecule: long non-coding RNA, 3777 nt
Filed under: Cricetulus griseus (Chinese hamster)
Lineage: Eukaryota; Metazoa; Chordata; Mammalia; Rodentia; Cricetidae
Description: lncRNA (ENSCGRG00015030045.1)
Source: RNAcentral
GGCAAGCACAUGCAGGGCAGACAACUUUCCCGCUGGUGACAGAUUACAAAUGUGCAGAACUAGAUUGAGAGCCAACUUUCCCAGGCUGAAGGAGCAGAGUGGGGAGGAGGGGCUGAGAUGCAGUGAAGGAAAAAUAAUGAUAACAAGUAGAAGAGGAAGUGCUGUGUGGUAGAUCCAGCGUUCGGGUCUCUGUGGCCUGUGGAGAGGACGCACCACAGACUGCCCUGUGCCGCCUGGGCCAAACUGCCCCAGGCUAAGCUGUGCGUUUUUUGGAGCCUACCACAUUGCCUACCCGACGGUCCACCAGGCCCAGGACUGAACAGUAUCCUCUGCGGAGAAAGCAGCUGUGGAAACAGACAUUGAGGAAGCUGUAUCUUCUGGGUACAACCAGCUUCUCUUCUGGCUUGGCUGUGAAGCACUUAGUCUAGGAGCUGGUCUGACAUGAAGGAGGCAGAGUCAAUGUUGGUGUUGUGUGGUCUAAUUCAGGGAAAGUGAAGUUUGAAAGAGGGGGAGGCGAAUGAAUCCCAUAGCUCAUUUAUGAAUGGAUUUUAAGUUCAGAAUUAGAAAUUAAAGUAUUGAAGGUCAUAGAAAGGGAUUUAGGCAAUUUCCAUAUUUGAAAAGAAUUAAAAUUUUGACCAAGUGUAGAAAGUGAAAGAAAACAACAAUACACUCCCCCCAAGGCAGGGAGAUUUGCUUGGAGUGUGUCUGUGUUGCAACACUGUGAACAGUAACUUAAACUUCUCAAAGUACCUCAUUUUCUAGGACAAAGGAAAACAUUCCUGUUAAGGUCACAUAGGAACCACUUUGUGGUCUCUGCUACUGGUGUUUGCAUGUAAAUCCGUGCUGUGAUGUAAGCAUUUAAAAACCAAGAGUGCAGUUAUAGAUUUUAUUUGAAUUGUGUUACUAAUGGUAUAUUUUUGUUGUUGUUGUUGUUUUGUCUUUUUUGUUUUUGUUUUUGUAUUUUUUUAACAGACUUGAAGUCUUUCAAAAACAACUAACAUGCUGUGAGCUGGUGAGACAGCUCAGUGGGUAGGAUGCUUGCCCCAGCCUGUCUCCUCUUAGCCUCUGUCUUACACAUUCUAUAAUGUGUGUUUUCCUAGGAGGGAGCAGUAACAGCUUCUCUUAGGACUUUACCUCCACAGGUAAUUUUUACCUCCUCUAAGGUCUGGAUAGUGGAGACUUUAGGAACUCUCUAAGACUCCACAUUCCCAAGCUACUGAGGAAGAAAUGUGAGAUUCUGGGAUGGGAGGAAAGAUUACCAUGUGGGAGGGUCUGCUUUAAUGGCCUUAAGAUCCCUCCACAUCCAAGAUAUAACACACAGGGCAAAGUGUCCCUGGGGAAGAGGCCCAAGAAUGGACUAAGUCUUGUUCUAACUGAUCAGAUUCAUCAGUUCACAUUGAAUUAUUGGUCCAAAAGAAAGGUUUUAGAGGGUGCAGAGUAACUACGGUCACCAACCAUCCUCUGGAUCCCAUUUCUCAUCUCACCACAGAUAGUAACUAACAUGGCUCCUUGUAUUUUAAACUGUGCUAAGUUAUUCAAAACCUCCCUUUCCAACAGUAUUGUCCAACUGGACCAAAUUAAAUACCAAGAAUUAUUAAAAAGUUUCCCAGCUAGGCAAAAUAGAUGUUAAAGUUAUGAGGUCAGUGACCUAGUUUUAUUUUUCUUGGUAUCAGCAGUACUAAAAAUAAAAGGUUCUAUAUGCAAAAAGCUGACUACUGAAAUUCUGUCAUUAUUUAAAGUGUAAGAUAGUAUAAUGUGUUACAUAUGAGCCAUAAAACAAUAAAUCUCUUAAGUGGUGAUUAGAAAGUGUGUCUAAAUAACAAACUGCCUUACUAUUUGAAACAACUAAACAAAACUUGCUGGUCAUCAAAGAACUGAAUCAGCUGUUAAUAGCUAUUUCAUAUGCUAUUGUUUGUUUCUUUUAGUGUCAGUGACAAGGGAAACAUUAUUGACUGUGCACAAUGUUUGAAAUGUGUGUAUAUUAUUCCGACAUUCUGCUAUCUCCUUCCUCACACCUUUCUCCUUUGCAGAUGUUCCACUGACUUUUAAGUAUGGAAGUGACCAGUGCUCCUGUAAAGACAUGGACAAAAGGACUACAUGACGUUUCUUGAAAACAAAUACUAGUUUUCUCCAAAGUGGGAAUUUACACUAUGAUGGGCCUGUAUCAUUUACUCAUUUAGAGGUUUGUAUGCAGUGUUGCUCAGAAACAAAACCAGGAGAUGUCAGGAGAAGACAGACAAGAGCACAAAAGGUAAGAACUAGACCUUGUAGAGCUAAUGAGCUGAGAUUAGAUUACUGUGACUCAAUGCACUGUCCUCCUGGGCACAGUGCAACAAGUUUAUGAAUUUUCAAAUUCAUCAUUUUGGGGAAAGGAAUAAUAUUCUGGUAUCAAUAAAUGAUGAUUGGAGACGUGGGCCUUGGGCUGGAAGAAGAAAAUAACAUCUUCUACGUCUGGAGAUAGGUCUGUACUUAAGAUGCUUUUGAUCUGCCUCUGGGGUUGGAUUGAGCUGCUCAGUGAUGGGGAAUAAACAGACACAUUCCUCAGAUGUUUCAGAAUAGGCUUGAAGCUCCCUUAGCUCGGGAGUCAACUCAUGUGCAUCCUAGGCCAACAGUGGUACCAAAUGUGCCUCUCUUCCACAGCUUUCACUUGAGAUUGUUAGCUGUAUUGGUUCUCUGGGGCUUUGGACAUGAGGGAACUUCUAUUGCACAUGAGAAAGAAGAGCUCCUUUGCCACAGUGAAAACAGAGGCCAGAGGAACAGGGGAAAAGGCCAAAAGUGGUAUUUGAAGCUCAAACUGAGUUUGUGGCAUCACACAUCCCAGUUGUCACCAUGAGCUAAGAAAUCACUUUCUUACAGCCCAGGAAUAACUGGCACUCAUCACAAAUUCAGGUUAUCAAGAAAAGGCAAGAGGAAAACUUGUUCUGAGAUCAGAUAAGACAGCUUGGGACAGGACGACAACGCUCUAUGACAGCAGAGUAACACCCAGGCUUUUGAAACCUUGGGUAUGGUUGAUUUCCCUGAGGUUUUCUCUGAGUAGCCAGUCACCGUGCUCAGUUUGUGGCCCCGGAUCUGCCUGGCACUGUGGAUAUAAACAUGGUAUUUUUCCUGAAGGCAUUUGGACAUUUUCCCUGUGUGUUUCUAACAAUACUCUAGCCACUCACAUGAAUCUAACAAGUGUGGAUUUAUCUAAAUCUUUCUUUAUCCUAUUUAUAUUUGUGGACUAUGCAACAUCUUGAGGAUAAUGAGUUCCAUAUGUUUACUACCCACUGUAUGAAGAAAUGCCAUCUUUUAUUUAUCGUCAAACUACUUUCAUGGAAUUUCAAUGGGUGCUCUGAGUUUUAGCACUCUAGGAUUUGCGUGUGGCCACACUUUACAGCUACAGCCCACCCACAUAAGCAUUUAUGUAGGUAAGAAAUGGGACCCUCUCUAUCUAGGUUCUUGUUCUAGUUUCAUUUCUGUUGCUAUGACAAAGCACUCUACCAAACCCAAUUUUAGAGGAGAAAGGGCUUAUUCGGCUUACAAUUCUAGGUUACCAGACAUCAUGUGGAGAGGUAACAGCAGCGUUGGCUUGAGAAAUUUGGCAGCACCACAUCCAGAGUCAAGAGAAAGGAUAAACAAGUGCACCUAUGCUGCCUGCCUGCUCUCCAAUAGCUUUCUCUACUUUUACAUAGUAAGGACCUAGCCUAGUCAUUGGUGUGGCCCACAGUGGCCUGGGUCUUCUUGUAGCAUGAGUCCUAAUAGGUCAUAAUAAAUAAUCUGCCUUUUUAUCCUAUUCCU